CCUACGGGCGGCAGCAGUGGGGAAUCUUGCGCAAUGGGCGAAAGCCUGACGCAGCAACGCCGCGUGCGGGAUGAAGGCCUUCGGGUUGUAAACCGCUUUCAGUAGGGACGAAAUUGACGGUACCUACAGAAGAAGCCCCGGCCAACUACGUGCCAGCAGCCGCGGUAACACGUAGGGGGCAAGCGUUGUCCGGAUUUAUUGGGCGUAAAGAGCUCGUAGGCGGCUCGGUAAGUCGGGUGUGAAAACUCUGGGCUCAACCCAGAGACGCCACCCGAUACUGCUGUGGCUUGAGUCCGGUAGGGGAGCGUGGAAUUCCUGGUGUAGCGGUGAAAUGCGCAGAUAUCAGGAGGAACACCAGCGGCGAAGGCGGCGCUCUGGGCCGUAACUGACGCUGAGGAGCGAAAGCGUGGGUAGCAAACAGGAUUAGAUACCCCGGUAGUC
This 441-nucleotide ribosomal RNA is filed under the name uncultured Acidimicrobiales bacterium. RNAcentral's name for it is "bacterial SSU rRNA". It matches the Rfam family "Bacterial small subunit ribosomal RNA", at positions 338 to 795 of the family's 1533-position model. Lineage: Bacteria; Bacillati; Actinomycetota; Acidimicrobiia; Acidimicrobiales. The record is from RNAcentral.